Molecule: ribosomal RNA, 556 nt
Filed under: uncultured fungus
Lineage: Eukaryota; Fungi
Description: SSU rRNA
Rfam family: Eukaryotic small subunit ribosomal RNA
Source: RNAcentral
GGAAGGGGUGUAUUUAUUAGAUAAAAAACCAACGCCCUUCGGGGCUUCUUGGUGAUUCAUGAUAACUUCACGGAUCGCAUAGCCUUGCGCUGGCGACGGUUCAUUCAAAUUUCUGCCCUAUCAACUUUCGAUGGUAAGGUAUUGGCUUACCAUGGUUUCAACGGGUAACGGGGAAUUAGGGUUCGAUUCCGGAGAGGGAGCCUGAGAAACGGCUACCACAUCCAAGGAAGGCAGCAGGCGCGCAAAUUACCCAAUCCCGACACGGGGAGGUAGUGACAAUAAAUACUGAUACAGGGCUCUUUUGGGUCUUGUAAUUGGAAUGAGUACAAUUUAAACCUCUUAACGAGGAACAAUUGGAGGGCAAGUCUGGUGCCAGCAGCCGCGGUAAUUCCAGCUCCAAUAGCGUAUAUUAAAGUUGUUGCAGUUAAAAAGCUCGUAGUUGAAACUUGGGCCUGGCUGGCGGGUCCGCCUCACCGCGUGCACUCGUCCGGCCGGGCCUUCCUUCUGAAGAACCUCAUGCCCUUCACUGGGCGUGCUGGGGAACCAGGACUUUUAC